This 443-nucleotide ribosomal RNA is filed under the name uncultured bacterium. RNAcentral describes it as "partial 16S ribosomal RNA". It matches the Rfam family "Bacterial small subunit ribosomal RNA", at positions 338 to 795 of the family's 1533-position model. The record is from RNAcentral.
CCUACGGGUGGCAGCAGUGGGGGAUAUUGGACAAUGGGGGAAACCCUGAUCCAGCGACGCCGCGUGAGUGAAGAAGUAUUUCGAUAUGGAAAGCUCUAUCAUCAGGGAAGAAAGAAAUGACGGUACCUGAGUAAGAAGCCCCGGCUAACUACGUGCCAGCAGCCGCGGUAAGACGUAGGGGGCAAGCGUUAUCCGGAAUUACUGGGUGUAAAGGGAGCGUAGACGGUAAUGCAAGUCUGGAGUGAAAGGCGGGGGCGCAACCCCCGGACUGGUCUGGAAACUGUGUAACUGGAGUGCAGGGGAGGUAGGCGGAAUUCCUAGUGUAGCGGUGAAAUGCGUAGAUAUUAGGAGGAACACCAGUGGCGAAGGCGGCCUGCUAGACUGUCACUGACGUUGAGGCUCGAAAGCGUGGGGAGCAAACAGGAUUAGAUACCCUAGUAGUC